GACAGAGGGUGCUAACGUUGUUCGGAAUCACUGGGCAUAAAGCGCACGUAGGCGGUCCACUAAGUCGGAUGUGAAAGCCCCCGGCUCAACCGGGGAAUUGCAUCCGAUACUGGCGGACUCGAGGAUGGUUGGGGUGAGUGGAACUCCAGGUGGAGCGGUGAAAUGCGUAGAUAUCUGGAGGAACACCAGUGGCGAAAGCGGCUCACUGGACCAUUUCUAACGCUGAGGUGCGAAAGCUAGGGGAGCAAACGGG
This 253-nucleotide ribosomal RNA is filed under the name uncultured bacterium. Its description in RNAcentral is "partial 16S ribosomal RNA". It matches the Rfam family "Bacterial small subunit ribosomal RNA", at positions 524 to 776 of the family's 1533-position model. The record is from RNAcentral.